Pelobates cultripes (western spadefoot toad) is the source of this 202-nucleotide non-coding RNA. The record is from the annotation of a GenBank genome assembly. NCBI's taxonomy places the organism in Eukaryota, Metazoa, Chordata, Amphibia, Anura, Pelobatidae.
CCACAAAGAUUUUUCUUCUUUUUGUAUUUUCCAUUUACAUUAUAUUUUUAAGUAUUGUCGACUUGCACAACAUAUCUAACAAAAAAGCAGCGUGGGUUAAAAAAACAAAACGAAGCAAGGAUUAUAGAUAGGUGAUUGACAGAAGGCAGAACUCCUAUUAGUAAGAGUUACAUUCAUCAAGAUGAGUCAACUUGAUGAAAAU